Molecule: ribosomal RNA, 468 nt
Filed under: uncultured Alphaproteobacteria bacterium
Lineage: Bacteria; Pseudomonadati; Pseudomonadota; Alphaproteobacteria
Description: partial 16S ribosomal RNA
Source: RNAcentral
UUACCGCGGCUGCUGGCACGGAGUUAGCCGGGGCUUCUUCUGCUGGUACCGUCAUUAUCUUCCCAGCUGAAAGAGCUUUACAACCCUAAGGCCUUCAUCGCUCACGCGGCAUGGCUAGAUCAGGGUUUCCCCCAUUGUCUAAGAUUCCCCACUGCUGCCUCCCGUAGGAGUCUGGGCCGUGUCUCAGUCCCAGUGUGGCUGAUCAUCCUCUCAAACCAGCUAUGGAUCGUCGGCUUGGUAGGCCAUUACCCCACCAACUACCUAAUCCAACGCGGGCCGAUCCUUCUCCGAUAAAUCUUUCCUCCGAAGAGCGUAUACGGUAUUACUCCCAGUUUCCCGAGGCUAUUCCGUAGAAAAGGGCACGUUCCCACGCGUUACUCACCCGUCCGCCGCUAGGACCGAAGUCCUCGCUCGACUUGCAUGUGUUAGGCCUGCCGCCAGCGUUCGUUCUGAGCCAGGAUCAAACUC